CUGAGCAUGGCGCUAAAGUUGAGUAGAACAAUUAUGAAUUAGGAUAAUUAGGAAACAACAAACUGGUGAAGAAAUCAUGAAGUGAAACGAGUUAUAGAAGACAGUAUGCAUUUUUCUCACUAAAACAAACUUGUGUACUUGCAUACUACUCUUUUUUAACUUGGACGGCACCUAGUGCUCAACUUGGACGAUGACCAGUGCUCAACUCGAAUUGAUGAGGUUGUCGUUGCUUUUUAACCAUGAAUGCUUCUAAAGACACUGGGAGUUGCUUCAAAACUGCUUUAUACUUUUUAACAUGAGGGUUCUCUCAAGCUGGGCCAAGAAGCAAUGCAUACAUCUUAUUUUUAUUCUGCAAGAACGAAACACUCCAACAAUUAACAACUAGUUUCAGUACAUGCAGAACAAUUUCAGUUUUGAGAACAAACUUCCAUUGAUGUGUUAAACUCUAAAAUCUGUAUAGAGGACAGGAUGGGUCUGGGUACUUAAAAAAUCUUGGCACGCUUUUACCAUGAGGCACCUUCUCCCUGAUGUUGAAUAGAAGAAUGUAGAUAAAGAAACAAUUCAAUUUUUUUCUAAAAUAAGAAUUGAACUGAACAAAAAUUAGAUAUUGAACCGAACUAAAAUAAGAAACUAGACUAAAUUAAAAUAAGAAAUGAAACUUAACUACAAUUUGAAAUUGAACUGAAAUAAAAUAAGAGCUUUUCUUGCAUAUCCUGACUUAAACUUUUCUCCUAGUGAAUUUUUUGUUGAUAUUUUUGUGUUCUUUAUUUUCUACGUUCUUGCCUCUGAACUUUCUCGUAGUGCAAAAUUUGUA
Molecule: long non-coding RNA, 814 nt
Filed under: Triticum aestivum (bread wheat)
Lineage: Eukaryota; Viridiplantae; Streptophyta; Magnoliopsida; Poales; Poaceae
Description: long non-coding RNA (TAES_LNC023022)
Source: RNAcentral